RNAcentral lists this ribosomal RNA (371 nucleotides) under uncultured bacterium. Its description in RNAcentral is "bacterial SSU rRNA". It matches the Rfam family "Bacterial small subunit ribosomal RNA", at positions 335 to 700 of the family's 1533-position model. The record is from RNAcentral.
ACUCCUACGGGAGGCAGCAGUGGGGAAUAUUGCACAAUGGGCGCAAGCCUGAUGCAGCCAUGCCGCGUGUAUGAAGAAGGCCUUCGGGUUGUAAGUACUUUCAGCAGUGAGGAAGGUGGGUAUGUUAAUAGCAUAUUCAUUUUGACGUUUAGCUGCAGAAGAAGCACCGGCUAACUCCGUGCCAGCAGCCGCGGUAAUACGGAGGGUGCGAGCGUUAAUCGGAUUACUGGGCGUAAAGCGCAUGCAGGUGGUUGUUAAGUCAGAUGUGAAAGCCCGGGGCUCAACCUCGGAAUUGCAUUUGAAACUGGCAAACUAGAGUACUGUAGAGGGGGUAGAAUUUCAGGUGUAGCGGUGAAAUGCGUAGAGAUCUG